ACAACGACUCUCGGCAACGGAUAUCUCGGCUCACGCAUCGAUGAAGAACGUAGCAAAAUGCGAUACUUGGUGUGAAUUGCAGAAUCCCGUGAACCAUCGAGUUUUUGAACGCAAGUUGCGCCCGAAGCCACUCGGCCGAGGGCACGCCUGCCUGGGCGUCACGC
Molecule: ribosomal RNA, 164 nt
Filed under: Chuquiraga arcuata
Lineage: Eukaryota; Viridiplantae; Streptophyta; Magnoliopsida; Asterales; Asteraceae
Description: 5.8S ribosomal RNA
Rfam family: 5.8S ribosomal RNA
About the family: 5.8S ribosomal RNA (5.8S rRNA) is a component of the large subunit of the eukaryotic ribosome. It is transcribed by RNA polymerase I as part of the 45S precursor that also contains 18S and 28S rRNA.
Source: RNAcentral